This 126-nucleotide small nucleolar RNA is filed under the name Nannospalax galili (Upper Galilee mountains blind mole rat). RNAcentral describes it as "Small nucleolar RNA SNORA31 (ENSNGAG00000004367.1)". The record is from RNAcentral. Lineage: Eukaryota; Metazoa; Chordata; Mammalia; Rodentia; Spalacidae.
UAAAUCUAUUUGACAGACUGGACGCAGUUACUGUCUGCUUCUAAGGUUUCCAUUACAGAUGCAAGAAAGUUUCCUCACACUUUCCAUCUGAUUGUGGCAGCCAAGAUUGAAUAGAGGAACACAGAG